UACGUAGGGGGCAAGCGUUGUCCGGAUUUAUUGGGCGUAAAGAGCGUGUAGGCGGCUAUACAGGUCCGUUGUGAAAACUCGAGGCUCAACCUCGAGACGCCGAUGGAAACCGUAUGGCUAGAGUCCGGAAGAGGAGAGUGGAAUUCCUGGUGUAGCGGUGAAAUGCGCAGAUAUCAGGAAGAACACCUAUGGCGAAGGCAGCUCUCUGGGACGGUACUGACGCUGAGACGCGAAAGCGUGGGGAGCGAACAGG
RNAcentral lists this ribosomal RNA (253 nucleotides) under uncultured bacterium. RNAcentral describes it as "partial 16S ribosomal RNA". It matches the Rfam family "Bacterial small subunit ribosomal RNA", at positions 524 to 776 of the family's 1533-position model. The record is from RNAcentral.